This 398-nucleotide unclassified non-coding RNA is filed under the name Athalia rosae (coleseed sawfly). RNAcentral's name for it is "misc RNA ENSAEAG00005009595.1". Lineage: Eukaryota; Metazoa; Arthropoda; Insecta; Hymenoptera; Athaliidae. The record is from RNAcentral.
CCCUUGGCUGCCCGAGACAGAAUCGUAGUCGGUACUUCCAAGAAUCCGGACUCGGGCGCGUUUCAGGAGUAAUUCUGAUGCGAACAAACGGGCUUUCCCCCUCUCCGAUGUCGGGGCAGGACUGGAGAUCUGUCCAACGACAGUGUUGCCAACCCUCCUUAACUUUUGUGCCUUUCCGCCACAGAGUAAUGGCGGAUUCCGCCUUCCUGCCGCUUCUCGGAAAAUUUCUGAUCAUACAACUACAGAUUCCCGAUGCAAUCGAACGACCCAUAACGAGAGCACUUUCAGAAACAAAUUCUGCACAAAAUGGUGGAGGGGAUGUUGCACGAAAUCGUCUAGACCUCUGCCUGUUCAUUUCGGAAUAAUAAAAACGAUGGACCUAUGAUGCAUUAACGUAG